This 72-nucleotide transfer RNA is filed under the name Treponema bryantii. Its description in RNAcentral is "tRNA_Glu_TTC". It matches the Rfam family "tRNA". From Rfam's summary of the family: Transfer RNA (tRNA) molecules are approximately 80 nucleotides in length. Their secondary structure includes four short double-helical elements and three loops (D, anti-codon, and T loops). RNAcentral also lists the same sequence under 3 other names. Lineage: Bacteria; Pseudomonadati; Spirochaetota; Spirochaetia; Treponematales; Treponemataceae. The record is from RNAcentral.
GGUCUGCUGGUGCAACGGUCAGCACAUCUGACUUUCUAUCAGAAAAUACCAGUUCGAUUCUGGUGCAGACUA